UGCAAGUCGACGGUAACAGGGAGCUUGCUCCGCUGACGAGUGGCGAACGGGUGAGUAAUAUAUCGGAACGUACCCAAGAGUGGGGGAUAACGUAGCGAAAGUUACGCUAAUACCGCAUACGAUCUAUGGAUGAAAGUGGGGGAUCUCAAGACCUCGUGCUCCUGGAGCGGCCGAUAUCUGAUUAGCUAGUUGGUGAGGUAAAGGCUCACCAAGGCGACGAUCAGUAGCUGGUCUGAGAGGACGACCAGCCACACUGGAACUGAGACACGGUCCAGACUCCUACGGGAGGCAGCAGUGGGGAAUUUUGGACAAUGGGCGCAAGCCUGAUCCAGCAAUGCCGCGUGAGUGAAGAAGGCCUUCGGGUUGUAAAGCUCUUUUGUCAGGGAAGAAACGGUACAGGCUAAUAUCCGGUGCUAAUGACGGUACCUGAAGAAUAAGCACCGGCUAACUACGUGCCAGCAGCCGCGGUAAUACGUAGGGUGCAAGCGUUAAUCGGAAUUACUGGGCGUAAAGCGUGCGCAGGCGGUUUUGUAAGUCUGUCGUGAAAUCCCCGGGCUCAACCUGGGAAUUGCGAUGGAGACUGCAAGGCUAGAAUCUGGCAGAGGGGGGUAGAAUUCCACGUGUAGCAGUGAAAUGCGUAGAGAUGUGGAGGAACACCGAUGGCGAAGGCAGCCCCCUGGGUCAAGAUUGACGCUCAUGCACGAAAGCGUGGGGAGCAAACAGGAUUAGAUACCCUGGUAGUCCACGCCCUAAACGAUGUCUACUAGUUGUCGGGUUUUAAUUAACUUGGUAACGCAGCUAACGCGUGAAGUAGACCGCCUGGGGAGUACGGUCGCAAGAUUAAAACUCAAAGGAAUUGACGGGGACCCGCACAAGCGGUGGAUGAUGUGGAUUAAUUCGAUGCAACGCGAAAAACCUUACCUACCCUUGACAUGUCAGGAAGACCGGAGAGAUUUGGUUGUGCCCGAAAGGGAACCUGAACACAGGUGCUGCAUGGCUGUCGUCAGCUCGUGUCGUGAGAUGUUGGGUUAAGUCCCGCAACGAGCGCAACCCUUGUCAUUAGUUGCUACAUUUAGUUGGGCACUCUAAUGAGACUGCCGGUGACAAACCGGAGGAAGGUGGGGAUGACGUCAAGUCCUCAUGGCCCUUAUGGGUAGGGCUUCACACGUCAUACAAUGGUACAUACAGAGGGCCGCCAACCCGCGAGGGGGAGCUAAUCCCAGAAAGUGUAUCGUAGUCCGGAUCGUAGUCUGCAACUCGACUACGUGAAGUUGGAAUCGCUAGUAAU
This 1288-nucleotide ribosomal RNA is filed under the name Betaproteobacteria bacterium RtV05. Its description in RNAcentral is "bacterial SSU rRNA". It matches the Rfam family "Bacterial small subunit ribosomal RNA", at positions 56 to 1342 of the family's 1533-position model. The record is from RNAcentral. Lineage: Bacteria; Pseudomonadati; Pseudomonadota; Betaproteobacteria.